Molecule: transfer RNA, 49 nt
Filed under: Aphonopelma gabeli
Lineage: Eukaryota; Metazoa; Arthropoda; Arachnida; Araneae; Theraphosidae
Description: tRNA-Leu
Source: RNAcentral
AUUCUUCUUGGCAGAACAAUGCAAUAGAAUUAGAAUCUAUUCACCCUAA